GACGAACGCUGGCGGCGUGCUUAACACAUGCAAGUCGAACGGAAAGGCCCUGCUUUUGUGGGGUGCUCGAGUGGCGAACGGGUGAGUAACACGUGAGUAACCUGCCCUUGACUUUGGGAUAACUUCAGGAAACUGGGGCUAAUACCGGAUAGGAGCUCCUGCUGCAUGGUGGGGGUUGGAAAGUUUCGGCGGUUGGGGAUGGACUCGCGGCUUAUCAGCUUGUUGGUGGGGUAGUGGCUUACCAAGGCUUUGACGGGUAGCCGGCCUGAGAGGGUGACCGGCCACAUUGGGCCUGAGAUACGGACCAGACGGCAACGGGAGGCAACGGGGGAGAGUAUUGCCCAGUGGGGGGAAGCCUGAUGCAGCAACGCUGCGUGCGGGAUGACGGCCUUCGGGUUGAAAACCGCUUUCGCCUGUGACGAAGCGUGAGUGACGGUAAUGGGUAAAGAAGCACCGGCUAACUACGUG
This 468-nucleotide ribosomal RNA is filed under the name uncultured bacterium. Its description in RNAcentral is "partial 16S ribosomal RNA". It matches the Rfam family "Bacterial small subunit ribosomal RNA", at positions 28 to 507 of the family's 1533-position model. The record is from RNAcentral.